RNAcentral lists this long non-coding RNA (564 nucleotides) under Drosophila guanche. Lineage: Eukaryota; Metazoa; Arthropoda; Insecta; Diptera; Drosophilidae. The record is from RNAcentral.
CUAACUCGAUGGGAGGCGGGUCAGGUAAUUUUUUGAUAACAAUAAAAUAUUGGAGUAGAGAAUGCGAUCUUCUUCAACAGAUGGCAAGUCAAGGCUUUCAAUUAAAUAAAAACAGAUCUUAUCAAAGUCACUUUUCGUUGGGAAAAAUAAUAUUAAUUGGCACUCAAAUUUCUGGCUUUGGUCCGAUAAACAGGUACACACUUGAUAUAGCCAUCCAUUUAGGAACUACAUAGACACUCGUAUAUAAAAACUCCAUCCCAUUUCAGCUAAAAAAUUGUUUGAGUUGAAGUUAUCUACGACGCACUGUUACGUGCCACGUGCCACGUGCCACAUGAGGGAUGCACAAGCGGCAGCUGAGGCCUGGCGAAAGAGAGAAUCUACCAAGUGCAUUAGGGCAAGGGGAGGGGAGCCCUAAUGGAGCUGCGGGAAGUGGAGUGAUGUAAGAGUGGAUGCAACAGCAGAAGUCGGAGUCGCAGCGAUGCGUAAUGUACUUCGUUGUAGUUUCUCCCUGUGUCUGUAUUUUGUAGUCAUAAAUUUUUAUGGGUAUCAUGAACCAAACAGCGG